Molecule: ribosomal RNA, 253 nt
Filed under: uncultured bacterium
Lineage: Bacteria
Description: partial small subunit ribosomal RNA
Rfam family: Bacterial small subunit ribosomal RNA
Source: RNAcentral
AGGACGAACGCUGGCGGCGUGCUUAAUACAUGCAAGUCGAACGAGGUUCACUUCGGUGGGCCUAGUGGCGAACGGGUGAGUAACACGUGAGCAACCUGCCCCGAAGACCGGGAUAACAGUGGGAAACCGCUGCUAAUACUGGAUACCCCCAACGGACCCCAUGGUCUGAUGAGGAAAUGGAUUCCGCUUCGGGAGGGGCUCGCGGCCUAUCAGCUUGUUGGUGGGGUAACGCCUACCAAGGCUUCGACGGGUA